Regulatory RNA element from Clostridiales bacterium CHKCI006, 110 nucleotides. It matches the Rfam family "TPP riboswitch aptamer (THI element)". From Rfam's summary of the family: Vitamin B(1) in its active form thiamin pyrophosphate (TPP) is an essential coenzyme that is synthesised by coupling of pyrimidine and thiazole moieties in bacteria. The previously detected thiamin-regulatory element, thi box was extended, resulting in a new, highly conserved RNA secondary structure, the THI element, which is widely distributed in eubacteria and also occurs in some archaea. NCBI's taxonomy places the organism in Bacteria, Bacillati, Bacillota, Clostridia, Eubacteriales. The record is from Rfam.
GGUUGCUGUCAGGGGUGCUUAUAGAAAAGCUGAGAGAAAACUGAUCUGUUUUUAACCCUUUGAACCUGGAUCUGGUUAGUACCAGCGUAGGGAGAUAUUUCAUCAUAUUU